This 4895-nucleotide long non-coding RNA is filed under the name Gossypium barbadense (sea-island cotton). Its description in RNAcentral is "long non-coding RNA (GBAR_LNC007006)". The record is from RNAcentral. Lineage: Eukaryota; Viridiplantae; Streptophyta; Magnoliopsida; Malvales; Malvaceae.
UGGAGUUUAAUAAGGUUUAAAAAACCUUAUUCUAAAAUAAAAUAAAAGAAGUCUAGUUCUAUAUGGAUUUUACUUUUAUUUUAUUUUCCAUCGUAUUUUAUUUAAAUAAGAAUUCGGGUCACUUAAUUCUAACAAUCUCCACCUUGACACAAAUUCUCAAUGAACAAGUUCUUCAUCACAAACAAGUUCUCCACCUCUUCCACAAAACCCCUUAAGGGUUUAACUUCAACAAUAAACACCAACCAAGUCUAAGCAAUGGUCAAACUUGGUUAUAGGAAGUGACUUAGUCAUCAUAUCUGUAGGAUUUUCAUGAGUACUAAUUUUGCUCACAACAAUAUCACCACGAGCAAUAAUAUCACGAACAAAAUGAUACCGAACAUCAAUAUGUUUUGUUCUCUCGUGAAACAUUUGAUCUUUUGUAAGGAAGAUGGCACUCUAACUGUCACAAAAUACUGUACUGAUUUGAAGGUCUUCAUUGAGUUCACUAAAUAGUCCCUUCAACCAAAUAGCUUCUUUACAAGCCUCAGUAAUUGCCAUGUACUCGGCUUCAGUGGUAGACAAAGCGAAUGUAGUUUGCAAAGUGGCUUUCCAACUAAUUGCACAACCUCCGAUUGUAAAGACGUAACCUGUGAGAGAUAUUCUUCUAUCAAGGUCUCCAGCAAACUCAGCAUCAACAUACCCUAUGACUCCAUCUUUAGUUCUUCCAAACUGUAAGCAAACAUUAGUAGUGCCUCGUAAGUAUCUUAAAAUCCACUGAAUUGCUUUCCAAUGUUCUUUACCGGGAUUUGCCAUGUAUCUGCUAACUACACUGACUACAUAUGAUAAAUCUGGACGUGAGCAAACCUUAGCAUACAUGAGAGAUUCCACUGCACUAGAGUAUGGAACAUGUAACAUGUACUCAAUAUCAUCAUCUGAUUGUGGAGACAAAGCCGAUGAAAUUCUGAAAUGGGCUGCUAAAGGAGUACUAACAGGCUUAGCACUCUGCAUAUUGAACCUACAAAGAACUUUCUCAAUGUACCCCUUCUGACUUAGGUACAAUUUACUUGCUUUUCUAUCUCUGAGAAUCUCCAUACCAAGUAUCUUCUUUGGUGGUCCUAAAUCUUUCAUCUCAAAUUCUUCACUUAGUUGGGCUUUGACCUUUCUUAUCUCUCCUUUAUCUUUUGCUGCUAUCAACAUGUCAUCAACAUAAAGAAGUAGAUACACAAAAGAACCAUCACUGUUUUUCUUAAAGUAAACACAACUGUCUAAACUACUUCUUUUGAAAUCAUGAGAAGUCAUAAAGGAAUCAAACCUCUUGUACCACUGUCUUGGUGACUGUUUCAAACCAUAAAGCGACUUUUUCAGCAAGCAAACAUAGUCCACUUUUUCUGAGACUAUAAAACCCUCUGGUUGUUGCAUGUAAAUAUCCUCCUCAAGUUCUCCAUGCAUAAAUGUAGUUUUUACAUCUAACUGCUCAAGCUCCAAAUCAUGCAUGACUACAAUACCAAGCAAAGCUCGAAUCGAACUAUGCUUAACAACUGGAGAGAACACAUCUGUGAAGUCCACUCCUGGAAUUUGACUAUAACCCUUUGCAACAAGCCUUGCUUUAUAUCUGGGUUCUUCAACUCCUAGAGUCCCUUCUUUCUUUUUAAACACCCAUUUACAAUAAACAGCCUAUUUACCCUUAGGAAGUUUCACAAGGUCCCAUGUUUUGUUUUUGUGGAGUGAUUCCAUCUCUUCUUGCGUAGCAAACAUCCACUUUUCUGAGUCUUCACAGCUAACCACCUCAGAAUAAUUAGAUGGCUCUUGAUUCGCAUCUAUAUCUUCAGCCACAUUUAAAGCAUAAGCAACUAAAUCAGCUUCGGCAUACUUCUUUGGAGGUUUAAUUUCUCUUCUAGUUCUGUUUUUGGCGAUAGAGUAUUGUGGUGAAGAAGCAACUCUAUUCUCAAUUUUUGUUAUGGCUUGAGGAGUUGACUCUGUAUUAAUCUGAUACUCCACCUGCUUUUGGUUUUCUUUAUUGGAAGAGUCUUUAAGAGAUAAGUUAGGUAGCAUAGCAGUUUCAUCAAAAACAACAUCUCUACUAAUCACAACUUUUCUAUUUUCAGGACACCAUAACUUAUACCCUUUUACACCGGCUUUAUAACCAAGAAAAACGCAUUUAAUGGAUCUCGGUUCCAGUUUUCCAUUAUCAACAUGAGAAUACGCAGGACACCCAAAAAUCUUUAAAUCAGAAUAAUUAACAGGAUUACCAGACCAUACCUCUUGUGGAGUCUUUUUCUCAAUGGCAACGGAUGGAGAUCGGUUGAUCAAAAAACAUGCAGUAAAGGCUGCUUCUGCUCAAAAUGACUUCGGUAAGUUGGCAUUUGAAAACAUACAUCGAACCUUCUCUAUGAUCGUUCUGUUCAUUCGUUCUGCAAUGCCGUUUUGCUGUGGAGUAUGACGAACUGUCAAGUGUCUCAUGAUCCCUUCUGACUUGCACAAUCUAUUAAACUCAUCAGAGUAGAACUCUAAGCCAUUGUCUAUACGAAGGUAUUUUAUUUGUUUUCCCGUCUAUUUUUCAAUCAUAAUUUUCCAAGACUUAAAUGCGGAAAACACAUCACUUUUCUGCUUCAGGAAGAACGCCCAAACUUUUCUGAAAAAUCAUCAAUAAAGGUUAACAUAUAAUUAGUUCCACCUCUCGAAGGCACUCUGGAUGGCCCCCACAGAUCAGAAUGAAUAUACUCCAACGUUCCUUUUGUGUUAUGGAUUCCUCUAGUGAAUCGAACUCUCUUUUGCUUCUCAAAAACACAGUGCUCACAGAAAUUCAGUUUGCAAAUUCCUUGCCCAUCAAGAAGUCCUCUUUUGCUCAAUUCUGCAAUGCCAUUCUCACUCAUAUACCCUAGGCGCAUAUACCAAAGUUUAGUAAUAUCAUCAUCUGACAAGGAAGAUAAAGUGACAGCUGCAUCACCAGUAAUAGUAGAACCCUGCAAAACAUAUAACUUGGCAAUUUUUCUCUGCCCUUUCAUCACAACAAGGGACCCUUUGGAAAUCUUUAAAACCCCACUUUCAGCUGUGUAUCUGUACCCUUUUGAAUCAAGAGUACUCAAUGAAAUUAAAUUUUUUUUCAAUUCUGGAACUUGUCAUACGUCACUAAGUGUUCUAACAACUCCAUCAAACAUCUUAACUUUAAUUGUUCCAACACCUGCGAUUUUACACGAAGCAUUAUUUCUCAUCAAAACAACACCUUCAGACACUAUUUCGUAAGUUGUAAACCAAUCACGAUUGGGACACAUGUGGAAGGUGCAGCCUGAAUCAAGUAUCCACUCCUCACUUACUUUAGAAUCAUUGACAGAAGCGACUAGAAGUUCACCAUCGCUAUAGUCUUCUACAACAUCAGCUUCACCGAAAUUUUCUGGUUGUUUUCCCUUUUGAUUCGCAGCCUCCCUUUUAAUCUUAUUUUGUAGCUUAUAGCACUUAGAUUUAAUGUGCCCUUUCUUCUUGCAGAAGUUACAAGUUUUACCUCUAUUUGAAGACUUCGAUCUACCCUUAGAUUUACCACGAGGAUUCUGUUCCUGUGUCUUACCAUGAUCAUCAUCAACAUUCCGAUCUUGUCUCCCAUGAACAAUGAGACCCUCUCCCUGAGAGUCGAGUUUAACCACAAGAUGUUUCAUCUUAUUAUAUGAGGUUAAAGAAUCAUAAACCUCAUCAACUGUGAGAGACUCGCGGCUAUAUAAAAUCGUGUCUCUAAAGGUUGAAUAAGACGGGGGCAACGAACAAAGUAGAAUCAACCCUAGAUCUUCCUUAUCAUACUUAACCUCCAUGGCCUCCAAGUUUGAGAGAAUUUCUUAAAACACUGUUAAGUGUUCGUGUACAGACGCACCUUCCUCCAAACAAUGAGCAUAAAGACGCUACUUCAUAUGUAACUUGCUUGUUAGAGUUUUCGACAUACAUAUUUGUUCUAGCCUCUUCCAUAAUGCAGCGGCAGUCUUCUCUUUCAUCACAUCCUGCAAAAUUUCGUUUGACAAAUGCAGAUGUAAUUGUGUUAAUGCCUUUCGAUCCUUACGCUUCUUCUCUUCAUCGGUUAAUGUCGAAGGCAUCUUAUCUAUCCCUAGCAGGGCAUCCUCCAGAUCCAUCUGCGCAAGAACUGCUUGCAUCUUAAUCUGCCACAAUGCAAAUCUGGUGUUGCGGUCCAAUAACGAAAUUUCAUAGUUCAAAGACGCCAUUACUCUGAUUGAGAUGAACAACCCGAAAGCUCGGAUACCAAUUUGUAAAAAUAAAAUAAAAUAAAAAACACACAAAUUUUACGUGGAAACCCUUUCGGGAAAAAACCACGGGCAGAGAAGAAGAAAAUUCACUAUGUUGAAAAAUUUGAAUCAAUACAAGAGGAAUAGACUAUGUCUAUUUAUAGGCUUGUAAAGUCAUAUUCUAGUAGGAUUGAAACACCUUAUCCUAAUAAAUAUAAAAUAGAUGGAGUUUAAUAAGGUUUAAAAAACCUUAUUCUAAAAUAAAAUAAAAGAAGUCUAGUUCUAUAUGGAUUUUACUUUUAUUUUAUUUUUCAUCGUAUUUUAUUUAAAUAAGAAUUCGGGUCACUUAAUUCUAACACAGCACUUUAACACUUCAAUUUACAACACUUUAACAUCUCAAUUAACAACAUUUAUACUCCUUAAUUACAGCGAUAAAACAUCUUAAUUUCCAGCAACUAAACAUUUCAAUUUGCAGUACUUAAACACUUCAAUUUACAACAUUUAAACACUUCAAUUUACAACAUUCAAACACUUCAAUUUGCAGCAUUGUAACACUUCAAUUUAUAGCAUUUAAAUACUUCAAUUUGUAGCACUUUAACAUCUCAAUUAACAACAUUUAUACAGCUCAAUUACAGCGAUAAAACAUCUCAAUUUCCAGCAACUAAACACUUCAAUUUACAAUAUUUAAGCACU